CCUACGGGAGGCUGCAGUGGGGAAUAUUGGGCAAUGGAGGAAACUCUGACCCAGCAACGCCGCGUGAAUGAUGAAGGUCUUCGGAGUGUAAAGUUCUUUUCUAAGGGAAGAAAAAAGUGACGGUACCUUAGGAAUAAGCCUCGGCUAACUACGUGCCAGCAGCCGCGGUAAUACGUAGGAGGCGAGCGUUAUCCGGAAUGACUGGGCGUAAAGGGUGCGUAGGUGGUUUGGCAAGUUAGUAGCGUAACUCCAAGGCUCAACCUUGGAACUACUACUAAAACUGUUGGACUUGAGUGCAGGAGGGGCAACCGGAAUUCCUAGUGUAGCGGUGGAAUGCGUAGAUAUUAGGAGGAACACCAGUGGCGAAGGCGGGUUGCUGGACUGUAACUGACACUGAGGCACGAAAGCGUGGGGAGCAAACAGGAUUAGAUACCCGUGUAGUC
RNAcentral lists this ribosomal RNA (443 nucleotides) under uncultured bacterium. RNAcentral describes it as "partial 16S ribosomal RNA". It matches the Rfam family "Bacterial small subunit ribosomal RNA", at positions 338 to 795 of the family's 1533-position model. The record is from RNAcentral.